GACGAACGCUGGCGGCGUGCUUAACACAUGCAAGUCGAACGGUGAACCGGGCUUCGGCCUGGGGAUCAGUGGCGAACGGGUGCGUAACACGUGGGCAACCUGCCCCAGACUCAGGGAUAACCCCGGGAAACCGGGGCUAAUACCCGAUACUCCGAUCGAACCACAUGGCUCGAUCGGGAAAGCUCCGACGGUCUGGGAUGGGCCCGCGGCCUAUCAGCUUGUUGGUGGGGUAACGGCCUACCAAGGCGACGACGGGUAGCUGGUCUGAGAGGACGACCAGCCACACUGGAACUGAGAUACGGUCCAGACUCCUACGGGAGGCAGCAGUGGGGAAUCUUGCACAAUGGGCGAAAGCCUGAUGCAGCGACGCCGCGUGGGGGACGAAUGCCUUCGGUUGUAAACCCUUUCGGCAGGGACGAAGCGCAAGUGACGGUAACCUGCAGAAGAAGCUCCGGCUAACUACGUGCCAGCAGCCGCA
Molecule: ribosomal RNA, 478 nt
Filed under: uncultured bacterium
Lineage: Bacteria
Description: bacterial SSU rRNA
Rfam family: Bacterial small subunit ribosomal RNA
Source: RNAcentral